GACGAACGCUGGCGGCGUGCUUAACACAUGCAAGUCGAACGGUAAGGCCUUUCGGGGUACCCGAGUGGCGAACGGGUGAGUAACACGUGGGUGAUCUGCCCUGCACUUCGGGAUAAGCCCGGGAAACUGGGUCUAAUACCGGAUAGGACUGCGCGGUGCAUGCCGUGUGGUGGAAAGAUUUAUCGGUGCAGGAUGGGCCCGCGGCCUAUCAGCUUGUUGGUGGGGUAAUGGCCUACCAAGGCGACGACGGGUAGCCGGCCUGAGAGGGCGACCGGCCACACUGGGACUGAGACACGGCCCAGACUCCUACGGGAGGCAGCAGUGGGGAAUAUUGCACAAUGGGCGCAAGCCUGAUGCAGCGACGCCGCGUGAGGGAUGACGGCCUUCGGGUUGUAAACCUCUUUCAGCAGGGACGAAGCGUGAGCGACGGUACCUGCAGAAGAAGCACCGGCCAACUACGUG
RNAcentral lists this ribosomal RNA (462 nucleotides) under uncultured bacterium. Its description in RNAcentral is "partial 16S ribosomal RNA". It matches the Rfam family "Bacterial small subunit ribosomal RNA", at positions 28 to 507 of the family's 1533-position model. The record is from RNAcentral.